Molecule: ribosomal RNA, 253 nt
Filed under: uncultured bacterium
Lineage: Bacteria
Description: partial 16S ribosomal RNA
Rfam family: Bacterial small subunit ribosomal RNA
Source: RNAcentral
GACAGAGGGUGCAAACGUUGCUCGGAAUUACUGGGCGUAAAGCGCGUGUAGGUGGACCAGCAAGUCAGGCGUGAAAUCCCUAGGCUCAACCUAGGAACUGCACCUGAAACUGCUGGUCUGGAGUGGUGGAGAGGAAAGCAGAAUUCCUGGUGUAGAGGUGAAAUUCGUAGAUAUCAGGAGGAACACCGGUGGCGAAGGCGGCUUUCUGGACACUUACUGACACUGAGACGCGAAAGCGUGGGGAGCGAACAGG